GUUGUCUGUGAUGCUUCAUCACGUGUAUUUGAGUUUCACUGACCAUGAGAAUACUUCACAUGCACUACCAUCUGAGACAAC
This is a small nucleolar RNA of Scomber japonicus (chub mackerel), 81 nucleotides long. Lineage: Eukaryota; Metazoa; Chordata; Actinopteri; Scombriformes; Scombridae. The record is from RefSeq and is a predicted model, not a curated record.